GGGGUGGGGUAGGGUUGCAGGGAAUGAAGCCGGGAAAAUAAAUACAGCAACUGCCCCUGUUCCUAAGGGUCCCCAAGAAGGAGAGCAGUGGGCCGAGCUGCAAAGAGGUAUCCCUAGGACCAGGAGCUGGUGAUCUGAGGGGACCCCAGCCACAGGGUCCUGAGCAGGACAAGGCUGGGGCGUGAGGUUGCCGAAGGGUGUUGGGAUUUUCACGGAAACUUCCGGCCAGUGCUGUCCCACCAGCAACCCCUUGCAUGGGGUGAUAGUGCCCCCUGGUGUUUGAUUCCUGGAACUCUCCCCCAGCUGUUUUGUAAAGCCCAGAGGAUUAAGCACUCCUGAAGAACUUCUAUUUUUGGUUCCCAAUAUUUCCACAGUGAAAUGCUGACAGGAGCACCAGAGGGCUUCCCAAAGGCCCCAGAGGCUGCUGCACUGCUGCGCUCCCGCGUGCUCCAGCUCUCUGUUCCCCAGGGGUCGGAGCUGCUCUUGGUUCUCAGGGGCAGUUUACUGUCCCGUGCAGUCUGGUUGAACGGCCCCAGGGCAGCCACCCUGUGUUCUGUUUGCCGAGCGCGGAGCCUGGCCUCAGCGGAAAGGCUGUGUGCGCAUUCAGAGUGACGUGUUGGAAAGAACACUGGAUCCAGGAUUAGGAAGCUUGGAUGCCCGCCCCACGUCAGCCGCUAACUACCGGUCUCAGGGUCUUCAUGAAGAACAGGUGACUUAAGCAGCCCUUGGAAGGCUUCCCACCGCCUACGAUGCAUUUCAGACUCGCUUCGAGGCAUCAUCUCAGCUCACCUGGUCAGCCUCACCUUUCGCUGGCCCCUACAAACCCUACUCUCCAUCCGGUCUUACCAAAUACCUCACCUUCCCUGAUGAUGCAACGUACCAGCCUGGCCCCGCCGUAAAGAACUGCCAUG
This 911-nucleotide long non-coding RNA is filed under the name Equus asinus (donkey). RNAcentral describes it as "lncRNA (ENSEASG00005036481.1)". Lineage: Eukaryota; Metazoa; Chordata; Mammalia; Perissodactyla; Equidae. The record is from RNAcentral.